UACGUAGGGUGCGAGCGUUAAUCGGAAUUACUGGGCGUAAAGCGUGCGCAGGCGGUUCGUUAAGUCAGAUGUGAAAGCCCCGGGCUCAACCUGGGAACUGCAUUUGAAACUGGCGGGCUUGAGUGUGGCAGAGGGGGGUGGAAUUCCGCGUGUAGCGGUGGAAUGCGUAGAGAUCCGGAAGAACACCGGUGGCGAAGGCGGCCUGCUGGGCAGUUGCUGACACUGAGGCACGAAAGCGUGGGGAGCAAACAGG
Molecule: ribosomal RNA, 253 nt
Filed under: uncultured bacterium
Lineage: Bacteria
Description: partial 16S ribosomal RNA
Rfam family: Bacterial small subunit ribosomal RNA
Source: RNAcentral